UAUGGAGCUUUAAUUUCUUAAUUCAAUAUUUUCGCAAUUUCACUCCACAGGAGCCUAACCAAGAAAAUUUCUGAAUUAAAAAUUUUGGUUGGGGUGACCUCGGAGCAAAAACCAACCUCCGAAUGAUUAUAAGCCUAGACUCAACAAGUCAAAGCAUUGAAAAUCAUAAAUUGACCCAAAUCCUUUUUGAUCAACGGAACAAGUUACCCUA
Molecule: ribosomal RNA, 211 nt
Filed under: Lepus capensis (brown hare)
Lineage: Eukaryota; Metazoa; Chordata; Mammalia; Lagomorpha; Leporidae
Description: partial 16S ribosomal RNA
Source: RNAcentral